GAUGAACGCUGGCGGCGUGCCUAAUACAUGCAAGUAGAACGCUGAAGGAGGAGCUUGCUCUUCUGGAUGAGUUGCGAACGGGUGAGUAACGCGUAGGUAACCUGCCUGGUAGCGGGGGAUAACUAUUGGAAACGAUAGCUAAUACCGCAUGACAACAGUUAUUGCAUGAUAACUGUUUAAAAGGGGCAACUGCUCCACUACCAGAUGGACCUGCGUUGUAUUAGCUAGUUGGUGAGGUAACGGCUCACCAAGGCGACGAUACAUAGCCGACCUGAGAGGGUGAUCGGCCACACUGGGACUGAGACACGGCCCAGGCUCCUACGGGAGGCAGCAGUAGGGAAUCUUCGGCAAUGGACGGAAGUCUGACCGAGCAACGCCGCGUGAGUGAAGAAGGUUUUCGGAUCGUAAAGCUCUGUUGUAAGAGAAGAACGAGUGUGAGAGUGGAAAGUUCACACUGUGACGGUAUCUUACCAGAAAGGGACGGCUAACUACGUG
This 495-nucleotide ribosomal RNA is filed under the name uncultured bacterium. RNAcentral describes it as "partial 16S ribosomal RNA". It matches the Rfam family "Bacterial small subunit ribosomal RNA", at positions 28 to 507 of the family's 1533-position model. The record is from RNAcentral.